Molecule: ribosomal RNA, 253 nt
Filed under: uncultured bacterium
Lineage: Bacteria
Description: partial 16S ribosomal RNA
Rfam family: Bacterial small subunit ribosomal RNA
Source: RNAcentral
UACGUAGGGUGCGAGCGUUAAUCGGAAUUACUGGGCGUAAAGCGUGCGCAGGCGGUUGGUCAAGACAGGUGUGAAAUCCCCGGGCUUAACCUGGGAACUGCGUUUGAAACUGGGGAGCUAGAGUGUAGAAGAGGGGGGUGGAAUUCCAGGUGUAGCAGUGAAAUGCGUAGAGAUCUGGAGGAACACCGAUGGCGAAGGCAGCCCCCUGGGCUAACACUGACGCUCAUGCACGAAAGCGUGGGGAGCAAACAGG